This 1553-nucleotide ribosomal RNA is filed under the name Salmonella enterica subsp. enterica serovar Indiana. RNAcentral's name for it is "bacterial SSU rRNA". It matches the Rfam family "Bacterial small subunit ribosomal RNA". Lineage: Bacteria; Pseudomonadati; Pseudomonadota; Gammaproteobacteria; Enterobacterales; Enterobacteriaceae. The record is from RNAcentral.
AAAUUGAAGAGUUUGAUCAUGGCUCAGAUUGAACGCUGGCGGCAGGCCUAACACAUGCAAGUCGAACGGUAACAGGAAGCAGCUUGCUGCUUCGCUGACGAGUGGCGGACGGGUGAGUAAUGUCUGGGAAACUGCCUGAUGGAGGGGGAUAACUACUGGAAACGGUGGCUAAUACCGCAUAACGUCGCAAGACCAAAGAGGGGGACCUUCGGGCCUCUUGCCAUCAGAUGUGCCCAGAUGGGAUUAGCUUGUUGGUGAGGUAACGGCUCACCAAGGCGACGAUCCCUAGCUGGUCUGAGAGGAUGACCAGCCACACUGGAACUGAGACACGGUCCAGACUCCUACGGGAGGCAGCAGUGGGGAAUAUUGCACAAUGGGCGCAAGCCUGAUGCAGCCAUGCCGCGUGUAUGAAGAAGGCCUUCGGGUUGUAAAGUACUUUCAGCGGGGAGGAAGGUGUUGUGGUUAAUAACCGCAGCAAUUGACGUUACCCGCAGAAGAAGCACCGGCUAACUCCGUGCCAGCAGCCGCGGUAAUACGGAGGGUGCAAGCGUUAAUCGGAAUUACUGGGCGUAAAGCGCACGCAGGCGGUCUGUCAAGUCGGAUGUGAAAUCCCCGGGCUCAACCUGGGAACUGCAUUCGAAACUGGCAGGCUUGAGUCUUGUAGAGGGGGGGUAGAAUUCCAGGUGUAGCGGUGAAAUGCGUAGAGAUCUGGAGGAAUACCGGUGGCGAAGGCGGCCCCCUGGACAAAGACUGACGCUCAGGUGCGAAAGCGUGGGGAGCAAACAGGAUUAGAUACCCUGGUAGUCCACGCCGUAAACGAUGUCUACUUGGAGGUUGUGCCCUUGAGGCGUGGCUUCCGGAGCUAACGCGUUAAGUAGACCGCCUGGGGAGUACGGCCGCAAGGUUAAAACUCAAAUGAAUUGACGGGGGCCCGCACAAGCGGUGGAGCAUGUGGUUUAAUUCGAUGCAACGCGAAGAACCUUACCUGGUCUUGACAUCCACAGAACUUUCCAGAGAUGGACUGGUGCCUUCGGGAACUGUGAGACAGGUGCUGCAUGGCUGUCGUCAGCUCGUGUUGUGAAAUGUUGGGUUAAGUCCCGCAACGAGCGCAACCCUUAUCCUUUGUUGCCAGCGGUCCGGCCGGGAACUCAAAGGAGACUGCCAGUGAUAAACUGGAGGAAGGUGGGGAUGACGUCAAGUCAUCAUGGCCCUUACGACCAGGGCUACACACGUGCUACAAUGGCGCAUACAAAGAGAAGCGACCUCGCGAGAGCAAGCGGACCUCAUAAAGUGCGUCGUAGUCCGGAUUGGAGUCUGCAACUCGACUCCAUGAAGUCGGAAUCGCUAGUAAUCGUGGAUCAGAAUGCCACGGUGAAUACGUUCCCGGGCCUUGUACACACCGCCCGUCACACCAUGGGAGUGGGUUGCAAAAGAAGUAGGUAGCUUAACCUUCGGGAGGGCGCUUACCACUUUGUGAUUCAUGACUGGGGUGAAGUCGUAACAAGGUAACCGUAGGGGAACCUGCGGUUGGAUCACCUCCUUACCUUAAAGAA